GUGUAUUAGAUACCCGGGUAGUCCACGCCGUAAACGAUGGAUACUCGCUGCCGGCGAUACAAUGUCGGUGGCUUAGCGAAAGCGUUAAGUAUCCCACCUGGGGAGUACGCCCGCAAGGGUGAAACUCAAAAGAAUUGACGGGGGCCCGCACAAGUGGUGGAGCAUGUGGUUUAAUUCGAUGAUACGCGAGGAACCUUACCUAGGCUAGAAUGCGCGUGACCGCCUCAGAGAUGAGGCUUUCCUUCGGGACACAAAGCAAGGUGCUGCACGGUCGUCGCCAACU
Molecule: ribosomal RNA, 283 nt
Filed under: uncultured bacterium
Lineage: Bacteria
Description: partial 16S ribosomal RNA
Rfam family: Bacterial small subunit ribosomal RNA
Source: RNAcentral